Lolium perenne is the source of this 894-nucleotide long non-coding RNA. RefSeq lists it as uncharacterized. The record is from RefSeq and is a predicted model, not a curated record. Lineage: Eukaryota; Viridiplantae; Streptophyta; Magnoliopsida; Poales; Poaceae.
CCCUUGGGCUCCCACUCUCUCAUGCCCAUCUCUCCCUCUCCAUCCGGUGCAGCCCACCUUCGGCCCACCUCCUUUUCUUCCUCUGGCCCGAGCUGGCCACUUCUUCUUUGGCCCGUACCCCUUCGAGCGGAGAAGUUCUCGAUGCACAGCAUCGUUGUCGUCUUCCUUCCUCACGCUGGCAGCGUGAGCAACCUGGUCCUCCCCAACCACCGCACCACCACAUUUUUCCUCCUCCUUUUAAUCCCCCUUGAGGUCCCAGAAACCCUAGCCUUCCUCCCUCUUGCCGCCGCCACUCUCUUCUUUUCCUCUUGAUCUUUCCCUGUGAGAAAACGUACCAGGCAACACACCCUUGUACGACCACCAUGGCACCGCGUCCUCCUCCUCAUCUCCCCGCCAAACCAAACCGUCCCCCGCCGUUCCGAGGGCAUCGGCGGAUGCGCCUCGUCGUCCUCUUCCUCGUGGUGAAAGGAAUCGAGCCGGGAUCGCUUCAAUCGACGCCAAGCUCGCCGAUUCCCCACUCUGGCUACCACACUCCGGCGCCGAUUCCGGCCGGCCUAGUCCUUCCCCGGCAACUUAGACCUCACCAGCAUGUUCCUGGAGCUCGUCGCCGGCAACACUCCGGCCACCCCCUGGACUCUGGCACCACCACCAUCGGCCUCCCCACGUCCAGCCGCAUCCCCCACGUCAUCUUCCGCUUCCCGGUUCGCCCUGAAUCGUCGGAUUGAUUCGCAACUUCUUCCUCCGCCAUGGCUGUAAUGUUGAAGCUCGUCCCUGGCACUGCUUGUUCAAGUUUUUCCGCGCCCUUUUGUUGACACGUUCGAACUACUAACUCAGUGAUCCGGCGCCAUGGAUGGGCCUUGGCCCAGAUCUUCCGAGCAGCCGUUGCCCGCGCGU